RNAcentral lists this ribosomal RNA (538 nucleotides) under Echinodera minosi. Its description in RNAcentral is "partial 16S ribosomal RNA". The stretch from base 388 to 538 matches the Rfam family "Bacterial large subunit ribosomal RNA", at positions 2473 to 2625 of the family's 2925-position model. Lineage: Eukaryota; Metazoa; Arthropoda; Insecta; Coleoptera; Curculionidae. The record is from RNAcentral.
GGCUUUUUGAUUAUAAUUUAAGGUCUAGCCUGCCCAAUGAUUAAUAUUAAAUGGCCGCGGUAUUUUGACCGUGCAAAGGUAGCAUAAUCAUUAGUUUUUUAAUUGAAAGCUUGUAUGAAAGGUUUGAUGAAAAAAUAACUGUCUCUAUUUAAAUUUUUUAGAAAUUUAUUUUUAAGUUAAAAAGCUUAAAUAAUUAUUAAAGACGAGAAGACCCUAUAGAGUUUUAUAUUUUUAUAAAAUUUAUUAUAUUUUAGAAUUUUUUAAUGAUUUUAUAAAUAUUAUUUGGUUGGGGUGAUUUAAAAAUUAAUUUAACUUUUUUAUUUAGUAUUACAUUGAUUUAUGAAUUUAUGAUCUUUAUUAAAGAUUGAUAGAUAAAAUUACCUUAGGGAUAACAGCGUAAUUUUUUUUAGAGUUCUUAUCAAAAAAAAAGAUUGCGACCUCGAUGUUGGAUUAAAAUUAAUUAUUGGUGUAGAAGCUAAUAAAUUAGGUCUGUUCGACCUUUAAAAUUUUACAUGAUCUGAGUUUAAACCGGUGUAAG